GAUGAACGCUGGCGGCGUGCCUAAUACAUGCAAGUCGAGCGAACAGACGAGGAGCUUGCUCCUCUGACGUUAGCGGCGGACGGGUGAGUAACACGUGGAUAACCUACCUAUAAGACUGGGAUAACUUCGGGAAACCGGAGCUAAUACCGGAUAAUAUAUUGAACCGCGUGGUUCAAUAGUGAAAGACGGUUUUGCUGUCACUUAUAGAUGGAUCCGCGCCGCAUUAGCUAGUUGGUAAGGUAACGGCUUACCAAGGCAACGAUGCGUAGCCGACCUGAGAGGGUGAUCAGCCACACUGGAACUGAGACACGGUCCAGACUCCUACGGGAGGCAGCAGUAGGGAAUCUUCCGCAAUGGGCGAAAGCCUGACGGAGCAACGCCGCGUGAGGGAUGAAGGUCUUCGGAUCGUAAAACUCUGUUAUUAGGGAAGAACAAAUGUGUAAGUAACUAUGCACGUCUUGACGGUACCGAAUCAGAAAGCACCGGCUAACUACGUG
This 497-nucleotide ribosomal RNA is filed under the name uncultured bacterium. RNAcentral describes it as "partial 16S ribosomal RNA". It matches the Rfam family "Bacterial small subunit ribosomal RNA", at positions 28 to 507 of the family's 1533-position model. The record is from RNAcentral.